AAAUGUGCCAACACGUCUGUUCUCGUGUGUACAUGUAACCCAGGUUAUUUUCCAAAGUUUGAGAUUUCUAAUCAUUUGGCAGUCAUUGAACGCACCACAGUGCGGCUAGUCCAGCUCCAGGAUUUCCGUGGAUCUGAGGAGGCACGUGCUGUUCUCGUGCCCUCUGCGAGCUGGAAACUUGGAUACAUUUAACACGAGUCGCUGUCAAUAAGUUUACGAAACAUUUGCAGUUGAAGCUGAUGUUUAAUGUGUUGUUAGAGAGAGAGAGGUCAUGUAGCACUACGAAUGAUCUCCUGUAUCCUGUUCCUGCUGGAUGAACCAUCCUCAUCCGAUGACUCCGCUGAACCAUCCUGAGAUGGUUGUUACUACAGGUGUAGAUGCUGUUACUGGAUACUACACAGUUCCAAGGAACAAAUUGAAGGCCCCAACAACAAAUUGAAGGCCCCAACAACAAAUUGAAGGCCCCAACAACAAAUUGAAGGCCCCAACAAAGUGCUGAGCUCACGUGUUCAUUUGGCCAAAGGACGUCAAAAAGUUUUGGGGGCUGGGACACUAAAAGAAAAGGUUUAUUGUCAUAUAAUUGUGUUUUAAUAAAUGUUUGUGUAAUGUUAAGUCAGUGUGGUGUCAUUGUGUGCUGGCAGAUCUUCCUGUUACCUAUAGGUGGAGCUAGGUGCUACCAAUCUUGUUUGAAGACACCAGCCUGCUGACAGGAUUAGUUGUAACCGCUUUCUAGAGAAGCUCUGAUAAUUUUUUUUAUUAUUAUUACUUUUCAUUGUUGUUCUUUUGGGCCUAAAACAUGGUGGUAUAAUUUAUCAUACAGAUUUAUCAUACAGAUCUAGAUUUUGUGUCGUAUAGUGUGUAGUGUAUGUUUACUUCAAGGACGCAAAGCGACAAAACAAAGCAGCACUUGACGAACAACAACUUGGUGGGAAAUGGCGAAACUGGCG
Long non-coding RNA from Haplochromis burtoni (Burton's mouthbrooder), 947 nucleotides. RefSeq lists it as uncharacterized. The transcript is spliced from 2 exons. NCBI's taxonomy places the organism in Eukaryota, Metazoa, Chordata, Actinopteri, Cichliformes, Cichlidae. The record is from RefSeq and is a predicted model, not a curated record.